GACGAACGCUGGCGGCGUGCCUAAUACAUGCAAGUGGGACGCAAGGGAACACACUGUGCUUGCACACCGUGUUUUCUUGAGUCGCGAACGGGUGAGUAACGCGUAGGUAACCUGCCUAUUAGCACGGGGAUAACUAUUGGAAACGAUAGCUAAUACCGCAUAAUAUUAAUUAUUGCAUGAUAAUUGAUUGAAAGAUGCAAGCGCAUCACUAGUAGAUGGACCUGCGUUGUAUUAGCUAGUUGGUAAGGUAAGAGCUUACCAAGGCGACGAUACAUAGCCGACCUGAGAGGGUGAUCGGCCACACUGGGACUGAGACACGGCCCAGACUCCUACGGGAGGCAGCAGUAGGGAAUCUUCGGCAAUGGACGAAAGUCUGACCGAGCAACGCCGCGUGAGUGAAGGAGGUUUUCGGAUCGUAAAGCUCUGUUGUAAGUCAAGAACGUGUGUGAGAGUGGAAAGUUCACACAGUGACGGAGCUACCAGAA
RNAcentral lists this ribosomal RNA (485 nucleotides) under Streptococcus mutans. RNAcentral describes it as "bacterial SSU rRNA". It matches the Rfam family "Bacterial small subunit ribosomal RNA", at positions 28 to 488 of the family's 1533-position model. Lineage: Bacteria; Bacillati; Bacillota; Bacilli; Lactobacillales; Streptococcaceae. The record is from RNAcentral.